UGGUUCUCGCAUCGAUGAAGAACGCAGCGAAACGCGAUAGGUAAUGUGAAUUGCAGAAUUCAGUGAAUCAUCGAAUCUUUGAACGCACAUUGCGCCUUCUGGUAUUCCGGGAGGCAUGUCUGUUUGAGCGUCAGUACCCACUCUUGUCAGAUCUUUUUUCUGUCAGGUUCUGAGGGCUCUCCUAAACCCGGAGUCCUUUAAUGUUGCACGCUUGCGGACUUUCAAACCCAGCACGACGUAGUAAAAUACCCCGCUGUGUGAUGGUUUGGAAGCCGCCUGAUCUCAAAAUACUCUUGUAGUUUGACCUCAGAUCAGACAAGGAUACCCGCUGA
This 332-nucleotide unclassified non-coding RNA is filed under the name uncultured fungus. RNAcentral describes it as "partial contains 5.8S ribosomal RNA and internal transcribed spacer 2". The stretch from base 1 to 133 matches the Rfam family "5.8S ribosomal RNA", at positions 22 to 154 of the family's 154-position model. Lineage: Eukaryota; Fungi. The record is from RNAcentral.